This 75-nucleotide transfer RNA is filed under the name Flavobacteriaceae bacterium. RNAcentral describes it as "tRNA-Gly". It matches the Rfam family "tRNA". Rfam says of the family: Transfer RNA (tRNA) molecules are approximately 80 nucleotides in length. Their secondary structure includes four short double-helical elements and three loops (D, anti-codon, and T loops). Further hydrogen bonds mediate the characteristic L-shaped molecular structure. tRNAs have two regions of fundamental functional importance: the anti-codon, which is responsible for specific mRNA codon recognition, and the 3' end, to which the tRNAs corresponding amino acid is attached (by aminoacyl-tRNA synthetases). tRNAs cope with the degeneracy of the genetic code in two manners: having more than one tRNA (with a specific anti-codon) for a particular amino acid; and 'wobble' base-pairing, i.e. permitting non-standard base-pairing at the 3rd anti-codon position. The record is from RNAcentral. Lineage: Bacteria; Pseudomonadati; Bacteroidota; Flavobacteriia; Flavobacteriales; Flavobacteriaceae.
GCGAAAGUAGCUCAGUGGUAGAGCAUCACCUUGCCAAGGUGAGGGUCGCGGGUUCAAAUCCCGUCUUUCGCUCUA